This 402-nucleotide ribosomal RNA is filed under the name uncultured prokaryote. Its description in RNAcentral is "bacterial SSU rRNA". It matches the Rfam family "Bacterial small subunit ribosomal RNA", at positions 355 to 774 of the family's 1533-position model. The record is from RNAcentral.
UAGGGAAUAUUGGUAAUCUGGGAAAACGGGAACCAGCAACGCCGCGUGCGCGAUGAAGGCCUUCGGGUUGUAAAGCGAUUUUUGAGAGGAUGAGGAAGGACAGUACUCUUAGAAUAAGCCUCGGCUAACUACGUGCCAGCAGCCGCGGUAAAACGUAGGAGGCGAGCGUUAUCCGGAUUUACUGGGCGUAAAGCGUGUGUAGGCGGUUUGAUAAGUUGGAUGUGAAAGCUCCUGGCUUAACUGGGAGAGGGCGUUCAAAACUAGCAGACUUGAGAGUGGUAGAGGGAGGUGGAAGUCCGCAUGUAGUGGUGAAAUGCGUAGAUAUGCGGAGGAACACCAGUGGCGAAAGCGGCCUCCUGGCCCAUUUCUGACGCUCAGACACGAAAGCUAAGGUAGCAAACG